ACCACCUGGCUCCUACCCUGUCCCAACUUUCACGCCAUUUGAGCCCGGGGGGUGUGAUACCCCCCUGCCUCCGCAGCUUCUGUGGGCUGGAGGUGAUCCCUGAAUCCCUCUGGCAGGUGACCCAUCCAUCUCUUUUCAUAUUGAGGGCCUCUCUUCUUCCUUGUCUAUGCCUCUUAAUGUGUUUUUUCCCCUGCUGUUGAGUGUGACUAGUAUUUCAUCCCUGGAAAGCCUUUCAGGAUGUUCAGCCAAGUGCUGUUUUUUAAAAAAGGAUAAUAAUAAUGUGUAUUUGUAUGUGCAUACGCGUGUGCAUUGCUGCCUGUACGUUUGUGUACAAGCAUUUCCAUAAGUCCCCAGAUGUGUGUACACCUCUCAUUUCCAAAAGCAGCAAAAUGAUCCUUGUCAGAGGAACUGAUUUACUGCAGCAUUUAAUGAGGUUCUUGUCAGAACCUGGUUUAGUGGUGUAAAAGCAAAUGUCAGGUCAGCAUAAAUCACAGGGGAAGGGGACGGACGGAAAGAAAUGCUCCACUUCUCCCUAAGAGAUAAACCAGCUCCCUGUUUAAAGUGGUCUCCUCCUUGAUCUGCCAUUUGAGAUAAGCUAAUAUACAGCACCAUUAAGUGCCCUCUCCUGCCUUAAUUGCUGAUUAACUGGAGGGGCAGGGCCCCAGCUGGGCAGGGUUCAUCCCCCCGGGUUCUGAUGGCUUCCAAGCCCAGGACCCUCACCCUGCCGUGAACUCCUUUUGCUCCCACAACGGGCAUUGCUCCUUUCUUCUUUACACCCUCUGAAGCGAGGGGAUGCCUGCCCUGGGGUGGCAGGCAGAUGCAGGAGCAGAGCAAAAUUUUUGCAGAGCUCCAAAGGAAAGCUGUGAAGCUGCUGGGGGCAUCCCACAGCGCUGCAGCAGGGAAAGCUGCCUUGCUGGGGCUGCGGUGCUCACUUGGUUUCUUAGGAGUUCAUGUCAGAUGGAGAGAUUCCCUUUUGUCCAGCGAGGAUGAGUUGUGCCUGAGAACUUUGCCCCUGCUCCAAGGCUGGAGCCUGCCACAGCCUCCCGUUUUCAUGGAAUCUGCGUGA
Molecule: long non-coding RNA, 1066 nt
Filed under: Anser brachyrhynchus (Pink-footed goose)
Lineage: Eukaryota; Metazoa; Chordata; Aves; Anseriformes; Anatidae
Description: lncRNA (ENSABRG00000010520.1)
Source: RNAcentral